This 338-nucleotide long non-coding RNA is filed under the name Mytilus galloprovincialis (Mediterranean mussel). Lineage: Eukaryota; Metazoa; Mollusca; Bivalvia; Mytilida; Mytilidae. The record is from RNAcentral.
CCGAUUCAUCUGAAAAUUUCAGGGCAGAUAGAUCUUGAACUGAUAAACAAUUUUACCCCAUGUCAGAUUUGCUCUAAAUGCUUUGGGUUUUGAGUUAUAAGCCAAAAACUGCAUUUUACCCCAUGUUCUAUUUUUAGCCAUGGCCGCCAUCUUGGUUUGAUGGCCGGGUCACCGGACACAUUUUUCAAACUACUAAUCCAAAAGAUGAUUGUGGCCAAGUUUGGAUUAAUUUGGCCCAGUAGUUUCAGAGGAGAUUUUUGUAAAAUAUUACUAAGAUUUACGAAAAAUGGUUAAAAAUUGACUAUAAAGGGCAAUAACUCCUAAAGGGGUCAACUGAC